CUCCGUAUAGCACAGUUGGUAGUGUGCUUGCUUUGGGAGCAAGAAGUCACAGGUUCGAGUCCUGUUACGGAGA
This 73-nucleotide transfer RNA is filed under the name Caudoviricetes sp. RNAcentral's name for it is "tRNA-Pro". It matches the Rfam family "tRNA". From Rfam's summary of the family: Transfer RNA (tRNA) molecules are approximately 80 nucleotides in length. Their secondary structure includes four short double-helical elements and three loops (D, anti-codon, and T loops). Lineage: Duplodnaviria; Heunggongvirae; Uroviricota; Caudoviricetes. The record is from RNAcentral.